GAGAGCCGUAUGCGAUGAAAGUCGCACGUACGGUUCGGAGGGGAGCUUCUGGGCACCUACAGCUCGCAAGAGCAGGGUCCUGGUCGUCUUACCCUAC
This 97-nucleotide non-coding RNA is filed under the name Paracidovorax wautersii. The record is from RNAcentral. Lineage: Bacteria; Pseudomonadati; Pseudomonadota; Betaproteobacteria; Burkholderiales; Comamonadaceae.